This 494-nucleotide ribosomal RNA is filed under the name uncultured bacterium. RNAcentral's name for it is "partial 16S ribosomal RNA". It matches the Rfam family "Bacterial small subunit ribosomal RNA", at positions 28 to 507 of the family's 1533-position model. The record is from RNAcentral.
GACGAACGCUGGCGGCGUGCUUAACACAUGCAAGUCGAACGGAAAGGCCUGCUUUCCCUUGUGUAUUGCGGGGGCUCGCGUGGCGAACGGGUGUGUAACACGUGAGUGAUCUGCCCCCAACUUGGGUAUAAGCCUGGGAAACUAGGUCUAAUUACCGAUAGGACUGCAGGGGGGUGGCUGUGGUGGAAAACGAGGUUCUAGUGGAUGGGGAUGAGCUCGCGGCGUAUCAGGUUGUGGGUGGGGUAAUGGCCGACCAAGGCGGCGACGGGUAGCCGGACUGGGAGCGUGGACGGCGGCAUUGGGACAGGGAUACGGCCCCGACGGGUGCGGGCAGCAGGAGUGUGGAAUAUAGGGCAGUGAGCGGGAGCCUGAUGCAGCGAGGCUGCGUGGGAGAUGACGGCGUUGGAGUUGUAAACUGCUUUCGACCAAGAGGAAGCCACCUGGUUGGGAGGGUAGUGACGGUAGUGAUAGAAGAAGCACCGGCUAACUACGUG